CUUGAAGCUGCUGUGGAGAAAAAAAAAAACAAACGUUACGCAUAUAAUGUGAUGUGUGUGUAUAUACAUGCAGGUGCCCUUAUGGCCAAAAAAAAUAUUUUUUUUUAGGGUUUUUUUGUUUGUUUGAAUGAAACUGCUCCUCGCAUUAACCACGGACAAUGUGAACCGAAAAAAUAUGUUCACACAUACAAAUAUUAAUAAAUCGGACUGGAGUUGCCGGAAAUUUGGUAAUGGACAAGUUGAGAUCCACCGAUGCUUGAUGGGGCGAACUGGAUAUGAUAGGUGUUGUAGAAUAAUCCGGCUCGAAGGACCAAAUGUUGUGGUAGGGCUUCCGCAGGGCUUCCAGGUUAUUUUUUCGUCUGGUCAUAUAUUUUCAGAAUAUAUGUUACAAUGUAUUAGUGUAAGUGUGAUGAAUGGAUUGCGACGGCCAAACCUUAUGUGAACAAAUGCUAACAAUUGAACCAGGCGUGUUGUUUCUUAAACCUACUUGGCUAGCGGAGCAAUGAUGGAAUCUUCAACAUAAUACAUGGUGACCGUGACCUUGCCAACCAAGAACCAGCGAAACCAACAUUAAAGGAAAAAAAUUACUAAAUAUCAACCAAGAAAAACCUAAACCAACACAAAAGAAAAAAACUACUGAAUGUCAACCAAGAACCACCCUAGUCAACAUUAAAUUAAAAUAAUUACUGAGUGAGUAGAGUGCGUGUGAUAUGAGAAAACGUGGAGGUGUUAAGUCAAAAGUAAAUAAGAGAAUAGCACACUUAAAGUGACUAUUAUUCUCUAGUACAGCGCCACCAGCGUGGUCAACGGCUCAAAAACUACAAGCCGAACUUGACUUUUUUAAAACACAAAUUAAAACCACAGUUCCCAACACUGCAUCUCACUCAACUCACAUUAAAAUCAUAAAAGAACAAAUAAAAAUCUUACUUCUGAAGAAAACAUGCACGAACGACUGCGAGGGACCAGAAUAUCCACCGUUUUUUGAAUAUACGUGCCGACAUUGCGCACCAUGGGAAAGCACCGGAAACUGAAAAAAAACAAGUGCGAGUGGCAUACCGCAGCUUGCGCCAACGAAGGAGCAUCAGCGUGCCACAUCCGGCGACGCCCAGCUGAUGCAUCAUUGAGGGUCAAUGAAGACA
This is a long non-coding RNA of Drosophila montana, 1139 nucleotides long. RefSeq lists it as uncharacterized. The record is from RefSeq and is a predicted model, not a curated record. The transcript has 4 exons. Lineage: Eukaryota; Metazoa; Arthropoda; Insecta; Diptera; Drosophilidae.